AAAGGUGUGAUGAAUUUGUUUACUUGCGAUCACAUGCAGGGAAUGGUUAAUAUGCUUUUACGUCUGUUUUAGUGAGCCCAGAGGGAAAAUAUGGCAUUUUAAAAGUAGCCCCCAUUUACAGUAGCUAG
This is a long non-coding RNA of Etheostoma cragini (Arkansas darter), 128 nucleotides long. RefSeq lists it as uncharacterized. The record is from RefSeq and is a predicted model, not a curated record. The transcript has 3 exons. Lineage: Eukaryota; Metazoa; Chordata; Actinopteri; Perciformes; Percidae.